GCUGCAACGACCGGAGGAGUGCUGCUGUAACUGGGGAGGGUGUGCAGUAUCUUUAUAAUGUGUGUGAGUGUGUGUGUCUGUGUGUGAGUCAUUACUUUUAGCUUCCAUGCGGCAGGCUGCAGGCUUCAGCAGGACAGAGAUGGCUAUGCUAAACCAAGCCUGUGUUAAUGAGACAGCUCUGCAGGGAUGAGAAGAACACACACAGAGCAAGUUUGAAGACGUCUUCUGGCCCCCCAAAGGCUUUCAGUCGGUCUCUUCUAAGCAAGAAGGCAAAUACUGAAGAGCUUCUGAUGUUUUGCAAAUUCACCAGGUGGAGUAUCUGUCUGUCUGUCUUUGGGAUAUGCCAAAAGAUGACAACGACCGUGGAGCAGAAGAGCGUUUGACUUUCACCAGCGAGCCCCUCUGUUUGACAUCAUGUUUUCUUAAUGAGAGCCAGCUGCCCCCCAACAUCAGCAUUCUCCUUCAUACCAGCAUGAAAAAACAUGAAAGUUAGAACUUUAAACAUGUCCAGAUUCCUUUGUACGCCACGGGCAGUAUUAGCCUGCUCGUCAGCAUUACAAUCAAUGGUGCCUGUGAUCAUCAAGGGUGGAAAUGAGCGCUUAGCCUUGGAGCACACGCACAGGAUGAAAUACUGCACAUUCAUUAUGUAAACAAUCUGGUUUGCUGAGCCAUGUGCAAGGUUUUUUCCCGGUGUACUGACACCGACAUCUUCAUAGACAAUAAAAAUGAAAUAAAAUAACAAAAUAAAUAAAUAAAUUUCCAGGUGCUAAUUAAUAUGCUGCACCCUGUUCUCAGAGGUUUAAAAGCUUUUGCUUCUAUGGCCAGUCACUGCAGAUAUAAUUUGUUCCAUUAAAAUCUGUUUCAUGCUCCCUUUUCAGUCUCAUGCUGCUUUUAUGACUUACUCAGGGGGGAAAAAAUUAAUAGAAAUGGUGACAAAUAUGUCAAUGCUACUAUCACAAAGAGUUGGCCACUGAUAGCUGCUAACUCUUUGUGGCAUCAGCAAGGUGCUGGAAACUUUCGGCCGUUAACUUUUUAACAGGCGAUCGUGGCUCAAGAGUUGGCAGUUCGUCUU
Long non-coding RNA from Oreochromis niloticus (Nile tilapia), 1072 nucleotides. RefSeq lists it as uncharacterized. The record is from RefSeq and is a predicted model, not a curated record. The transcript has 3 exons. NCBI's taxonomy places the organism in Eukaryota, Metazoa, Chordata, Actinopteri, Cichliformes, Cichlidae.